UACAGAGGGUGCAAGCGUUAAUCGGAAUUACUGGGCGUAAAGCGUGCGUAGUCGGUUAUCUAAGUCGGGUGUGAAAUCCCCGGGCUCAACCUGGGAAUUGCAUUCGAUACUGGAUAGCUAGAGUUCGGCAGAGGGAAGCGGAAUUUCCGGUGUAGCGGUGAAAUGCGUAGAUAUCGUAAGGAAGACCAGUGGCGAAGGCGGGUCUCUGGACAGUUCCUGACACUGAGACACGAAGGCCAGGGGAGCAAACGGG
RNAcentral lists this ribosomal RNA (253 nucleotides) under uncultured bacterium. RNAcentral describes it as "partial 16S ribosomal RNA". It matches the Rfam family "Bacterial small subunit ribosomal RNA", at positions 524 to 776 of the family's 1533-position model. The record is from RNAcentral.